GACGAACGCUGGCGGCGUGCUUAACACAUGCAAGUCGAACGGACAGGCCCUGCUUUUGUGGGGUGCUCGAGUGGCGAACGGGUGAGUAACACGUGUGUAACCUGCCCUUGCCUUUGGGAUAACUUAAGGAAACUGGGGCUAAUACCGGAUAGGAGCUCCUGCUGCAUGGUGGGGGUUGGAAAGUUUCGGCGGUUGGGGAUGGACUCGCGGCUUAUCAGCUUGUUGGUGGGGUAGUGGCUUACCAAGGCUUUGACGGGUAGCCGGCCUGAGAGGGUGACCGGCCACAUUGGGACUGGGAUACGGCCCGGACUCCUACGGGAGGCAGCGGAGGGGAAGAGUGCACAAGGGGCGGAAGCCUGAUGCAGCAACGCCGCGUGCGGGAUGACGGCCUUCGGGUUGUAAACCGCUUUCGCCUGUGACGAGGCGUGAGUGACGGUAAUGGGUAAAGAAGCACCGGCUAACUACGUG
RNAcentral lists this ribosomal RNA (468 nucleotides) under uncultured bacterium. RNAcentral describes it as "partial 16S ribosomal RNA". It matches the Rfam family "Bacterial small subunit ribosomal RNA", at positions 28 to 507 of the family's 1533-position model. The record is from RNAcentral.